Molecule: long non-coding RNA, 255 nt
Filed under: Brassica napus (rape)
Lineage: Eukaryota; Viridiplantae; Streptophyta; Magnoliopsida; Brassicales; Brassicaceae
Description: long non-coding RNA (BNAP_LNC023886)
Source: RNAcentral
UAGUUUCCUAAUUUAAACGGAAAUCGACAGUGCAAAUUUUGGUUCCCACAAUAAUCGUACUUAAAUGAAUAGGAAACGCUUAAAACCAAAUCACCAAGUUUUAAAAUGAAAUAACUUAAAGAAAACCAAACACCCGAAGAGCCAGCACCACAUCGAGACGACUACUCCUGCACUUCCUCGAACUCACCUGAAAAGAAAGGAGGGCUGAGUAUUUCGACAAAUACUCAGUGAGGGAAGCUCUGGGAGCCCUGAAAU